This 773-nucleotide ribosomal RNA is filed under the name uncultured Neocallimastigales. RNAcentral's name for it is "partial large subunit ribosomal RNA". It matches the Rfam family "Eukaryotic large subunit ribosomal RNA", at positions 24 to 618 of the family's 3401-position model. Lineage: Eukaryota; Fungi; Neocallimastigomycota; Neocallimastigomycetes; Neocallimastigales. The record is from RNAcentral.
UAUCUCUGUAGAGUCUGCAUAUCAAUAAGCGGAGGAAAAGAAACUAACUAGGAUUCCCUCAGUAACGGCGAGUGAAGCGGGAAGAGCUCAAAUUUGAAAUCUUCAAGGUUUUACCUUGACGAAUUGUAGUUUAAAGAAGUGUUUUCUGUUGGAGUUUUGGUAAAAGUUCUUUGGAAUAGGACAUCAUAGAGGGUGAGAAUCCCGUAUUUGACCAUUAUUUCCAGCUUUGUGAUACACUUUUAAAGAGUCGGAUUGUUUGGGAAUGCAGUCCAAAAUGGGUGGUAAAUUUCAUCUAAAGCUAAAUAUUGGCGAGAGACCGAUAGCGAACAAGUACCGUGAGGGAAAGAUGAAAAGAACUUUGAAAAGAGAGUUAAACAGUACGUGAAAUUGUCAAAAGGGAAGCGUUUGACACCAGUGUUGUUUCUACGAAAAUCAAUUUAUGAUGGCUUGAUGCUAAGCUUUAAGACUUUAUCCGCUUGUUGUUUAGUUUUCUUGUCUUUGUGAAUGCACUUUUCGUGGAACAAGUCAACAUCAAUUUCUUUUGCUGUAAAAGGGUAAGAGGAAGGUGGCUUCGGCUUCGGUUGAAGUGUUUAUAGCCUUUUAUCUCUGCAGUCGGAGAGAUUGAGGUCUGCAGCGUAGACUCUUCGGGGUUAGAUACGUCGGUGCUAAGCUAUAGCUUUUCAUAGACAACUUGUUGACUAUGUUUAGUCAUGUGGCUUACCCGCUGGCGCUAUUUUACCUACGCUUAGGAUGUUGAGUCAUCACACAUCUCU